This 74-nucleotide transfer RNA is filed under the name Bacteriophage sp. RNAcentral describes it as "tRNA-Ile". It matches the Rfam family "tRNA". Rfam says of the family: Transfer RNA (tRNA) molecules are approximately 80 nucleotides in length. RNAcentral also lists the same sequence under 1 other name. The record is from RNAcentral.
AGGGCUAUAGCUCAACUGGUUAGAGCACCACACUGAUAAUGUGGAGGUUAUCAGUUCAAGUCUGAUUAGCCCUA